RNAcentral lists this ribosomal RNA (497 nucleotides) under uncultured bacterium. Its description in RNAcentral is "partial 16S ribosomal RNA". It matches the Rfam family "Bacterial small subunit ribosomal RNA", at positions 28 to 507 of the family's 1533-position model. The record is from RNAcentral.
GACGAACGCUGGCGGCGUGCCUAAUACAUGCAAGUUGAGCGCUGAAGGUUGGUACUUGUACCAACUGGAUGAGCAGCGAACGGGUGAGUAACGCGUGGGGAAUCUGCCUUUGAGCGGGGGACAACAUUUGGAAACGAAUGCUAAUACCGCAUAAAAACUUUAAACACAAGUUUUAAGUUUGAAAGAUGCAAUUGCAUCACUCAAAGAUGAUCCCGCGUUGUAUUAGCUAGUUGGUGAGGUAAAGGCUCACCAAGGCGAUGAUACAUAGCCGACCUGAGAGGGUGAUCGGCCACAUUGGGACUGAGACACGGCCCAAACUCCUACGGGAGGGAGCAGUAGGGAAUCUUCGGCAAUGGACGAAAGUCUGACCGAGCAACGCCGCGUGAGUGAAGAAGGUUUUCGGAUCGUAAAACUCUGUUGGUAGAGAAGAACGUUGGUGAGAGUGGAAAGCGCAUCAAGUGACGGUAACUACCCAGAAAGGGACGGCUAACUACGUG